GUCGAGUCGGCCUGCGCGGAAGAUGUAACGGGGCUAAGUAGUAAACCGAAGCUGCGGCAAUAUACUUUUGUAUAUUGGGUAGGGGAGCGUUCUGUAAGCGGUUGAAGGUGUGUGGUAACGCAUGCUGGACGUAUCAGAAGUGCGAAUGCUGACAUGAGUAACGAUAAAGGGGGUGAAAAACCUCCUCGCCGGAAGACCAAGGGUUCCUGUCCAACGUUAAUCGGGGCAGGGUAAGUCGACCCCUAAGGCGAGGCCGAAAGGCGUAGUCGAUGGGAAACGGGUUAAUAUUCCCGUACUUCUUACAAUUGCGAUGGGGGGACGGAGAAGGCUAGGUGGGCCUGGCGACGGUUGUCCAGGUUCAAGUGCGUAGGCUUAAGAGUUAGGUAAAUCCGGCUCUUUUUAAGGCAGAGACACGACGUCGAGCACCUACGGGUGUGAAGUCAUUGAUGCCAUGCUUCCAGGAAAAGCCUCUAAGCUUCAGAUUGUAAGGAAUCGUACCCCAAACCGACACAGGUGGUCGGGUAGAGAAUACCAAGGCGCUUGAGAGAACUCGGGUGAAGGAACUAGGCAAAAUGGUACCGUAACUUCGGGAGAAGGUACGCUCUUGAUGGUGAAGUCCCUUGCGGAUGGAGCUGACGAGAGUCGCAGAUACCAGGUGGCUGCAACUGUUUAUUAAAAACACAGCACUGUGCAAAAUCGUAAGAUGACGUAUACGGUGUGACGCCUGCCCGGUGCCGGAAGGUUAAUUGAUGGGGUUAGACUUCGGUCGAAGCUCUUGAUCGAAGCCCCGGUAAACGGCGGCCGUAACUAUAACGGUCCUAAGGUAGCGAAAUUCCUUGUCGGGUAAGUUCCGACCUGCACGAAUGGCGUAAUGAUGGCCACGCUGUCUCCACCCGAGACUCAGUGAAAUUGAAAUCGCUGUGAAGAUGCAGUGUACCCGCGGCUAGACGGAAAGACCCCGUGAACCUUUACUACAGCUUGGCACUGAACAUUGACCCUACAUGUGUAGGAUAGGUGGGAGGCUUUGA
RNAcentral lists this ribosomal RNA (1028 nucleotides) under Vibrio parahaemolyticus. RNAcentral describes it as "partial 23S ribosomal RNA". It matches the Rfam family "Bacterial large subunit ribosomal RNA", at positions 1148 to 2160 of the family's 2925-position model. Lineage: Bacteria; Pseudomonadati; Pseudomonadota; Gammaproteobacteria; Vibrionales; Vibrionaceae. The record is from RNAcentral.